This 322-nucleotide ribosomal RNA is filed under the name uncultured eukaryote. RNAcentral's name for it is "partial 18S ribosomal RNA". It matches the Rfam family "Eukaryotic small subunit ribosomal RNA", at positions 1470 to 1796 of the family's 1831-position model. The record is from RNAcentral.
CCCUUAGAUGUUCUGGGCCGCACGCGUGCUACACUGAGUAAUUCAAUGGGUAAGGGAACGCUAGAGCAUUACCUAAUCUUGAAAUUUGCUCGUGAUGGGGAUCGACGGUUGCAAUUUUCCGUCGUGAACGAGGAAUACCUUGUAGGCGCAUGUCAUCAUCAUGCGCCGAAUACGUCCCUGCCCUUUGUACACACCGCCCGUCGCUCCUACCGAUUGAGUGAUCCGGUGAGGCUCUGGGACCUGGACGGAAAGAGCGUUUCGCUUGUUCUGUUUGGGAAACUUGGUCGAACCUUAUCAUUUAGAGGAAGGAGAAGUCGUAACA